This 116-nucleotide ribosomal RNA is filed under the name Shewanella sp. MMG014. The record is from RNAcentral. Lineage: Bacteria; Pseudomonadati; Pseudomonadota; Gammaproteobacteria; Alteromonadales; Shewanellaceae.
CUUGGUGACAAUAGCAUUGUGGUCCCACCUGAUCCCAUCCCGAACUCAGUAGUGAAACGCAAUAGCGCCGAUGAUAGUGUGGGGUCUCCCCAUGUGAAAGUAGGUCAUCGCCAAGC